GCUAAAAUGUUUUGAUAUUCACUGAACAGACAUGCAAUUGCCUGCAUAGUCCUUUCUUAUUUGAAAGAUGAAUCCCUGUCGCUUGCAAGAUACACAAUCUCAUGCCCAUCGUGCAUAGCUAAUUCAUUGCAUUGGGGAGAGGUGGACGCCGGAUGUAAACAAACGGAGAGGGGGUGUCACGUUGAGUAGCUUUGCAGAUGUAGGCAAAGAGAUUGGCACAUUACUAACGGUGUUGGACUACCAUAAAUUGUUGGGUAGCCAGCCACCCAUGCAUGUUGACACAGCCAGCAGCGGGCACCCAUGGCACAUGGGGAUGGACCCAGGAGUGGAGGAUGACCCAAUAGGAUGAACGUUCAGCCCACUCACUGUUGACACCAGUGACACAGUAUUGACCAGAUCUCCUGGAAGUGCCCCCUGACGCAGACCCAGUUGUUGGGUAGCCACCCAUGCACGUUGACACAGCCAGCACCGAGCACCCAGGGGGAUGGAACCAGGAAUGGAGGAUGGUCCAAUAGGGUAGCAUCAUGAAGGCGGUUUACCCCUGAAACUUUUUACAAAGGACCACCAUCGUCAGAGAAGUUCCUUUAACCCUUAUCUCCCAUAGCGGCCGUGAACGCCCGGCCACCUCUCUCCCAUAACGCCCGCCGACACCCGGAGUAUUUUCAUAGCUGAACAGAAGUCAUCAUGCAGUUUCUACAGCUUUCACUUUAGAUCACUAUUACAGACUCUCAAUAUAUUUUUAUUAUAAAAACUAUUUUGGGAAAUCCUGAACUACAGUGCAAAGUGGCUGAGCUCAAAAGUACGGGCUCGCUGCUGCUGCCCAGUAGAAAAUAUCUUUUAAAUGCAGUACAGUUCCUAAUUGUGCGUUCAUGUGGUAAUUACGUAAAUAUCAAACACUGACAUCCGAAGCACACAUGAACGCCACCGGCCCUAGUAGAAAAUUUUGAUUAAUGAAUGCACUAUAUCUCUUCUCUUGCCUCCCUCUCUUCUCCACAAGCUCUCCCCUCAUCUAUUCUCUUCAUUUUGCUAGUCCUCAUCUCUCUUUCUUCAUUGUGUUACUGUUUAAGCUGAUAACUGUUACUUUUAAAAAUUAAAUAGUUAAAGAUAUUGAAGUUGUCUGUCUUGUGUUACCGUUACCAUGAAGCACAUCAUCUCACAUCUCAAAUGUAUUGUGUAAGUGGUUUGUAAAUAUUUUUGAUGAGAAUAGUAAGAUCUCUCAGAUGUUGCCUCCCAUGCAUAAGCAAUGCUCAACAAGUCAUUUAUUGAUGUUUUGGAAAGCAUGGAAAGAUUUUCAGUUUAAAAGUUCCCCAGAUAUGCCGUAGUAAUGAGUUGUAAGUCCUUGAUAAUGCAUAAGCAAUGCUUAUCAAGUCAUUUGUUAAUGCGUUGUAAAGCUUUAACAGGUUUUCACUUUAGAUCAGUUCCCCAGAUAUA
Molecule: long non-coding RNA, 1431 nt
Organism: Engraulis encrasicolus (European anchovy)
Lineage: Eukaryota; Metazoa; Chordata; Actinopteri; Clupeiformes; Engraulidae
Exons: 5
Source: RefSeq, a predicted model, not a curated record